This 468-nucleotide ribosomal RNA is filed under the name uncultured bacterium. RNAcentral describes it as "partial 16S ribosomal RNA". It matches the Rfam family "Bacterial small subunit ribosomal RNA", at positions 28 to 507 of the family's 1533-position model. The record is from RNAcentral.
GACGAACGCUGGCGGCGUGCUUAACACAUGCCAGUCGAACGGAAAGGCCCUGCUUUUGUGGGGUGCUCGAGUGGCGAACGGGUGAGUAACACGUGAGUAACCUGCCCUUGACUUUGGGAUAACUUCAGGAAACUGGGGCUACUACCGGAUAGGAGCUCCUGCUGCAUGGUGGGGGUUGGAAAGUUUCGGCGGUUGGGGAUGGACUCGCGGCUUAUCAGCUUGUUGGUGGGGUAGUGGCUUACCAAGGCUUUGACGGGUAGCCGGCCUGAGAGGGUGACCGGCCACAUUGGGACUGAGAUACGGCCCAGACUCGUACGGGAGGCAGCAGUGGGGAAUAUUGCACAAUGGGCGGAAGCCUGAUGCAGCAACGCCGCGUGCGGGAUGACGGCCUUCGGGUUGUAAACCGCUUUCGCCUGUGACGAAGCGUGAGUGACGGUAAUGGGUAAAGAAGCACCGGCUAACUACGUG